UACGGAGGAUGCGAGCGUUGUUCGGAAUCACUGGGCUUAAAGCGCAUGCAGGCGGAACGGAAGGUGCUUUGUGAAAUCCCUCGGCUCAACCGAGGAAUUGCUUGGCAAACCACCGUUCUUGAGGCAGGUAGAGGCGACUGGAACCUUUGGUGGAGAGGUGAAAUUCGUAGAUAUCAAAGAGAACGACGGUGGCGAAAGCGGGUCGCUGGGCCUGUCCUGACGCUCAGAUGCGAAAGCGUAGGGAGCGAACGGG
RNAcentral lists this ribosomal RNA (253 nucleotides) under uncultured bacterium. RNAcentral's name for it is "partial 16S ribosomal RNA". It matches the Rfam family "Bacterial small subunit ribosomal RNA", at positions 524 to 776 of the family's 1533-position model. The record is from RNAcentral.